This 652-nucleotide long non-coding RNA is filed under the name Musa acuminata (dwarf banana). RNAcentral describes it as "long non-coding RNA (MACU_LNC000042)". The record is from RNAcentral. Lineage: Eukaryota; Viridiplantae; Streptophyta; Magnoliopsida; Zingiberales; Musaceae.
AUCUCUCUCUCUCUCUCUCUCUCUCUCUCUCUGUCGCCUGCAUACGAAGAGUAUUAUUAGGCUCGGCAGUUUACUCUGUGGGCAAGAAUUAUCCCUGCAAGUGUAAUUACCAUAUGGGCAUGCCAAUUGAGGAAGAUAUGAAUCAAUCAUAAAAGAGAAGAAGAGAAUACAUCACUUGCAGUUCUUACGUCUCUUCUUCGUUUGAGACUUGGGAAUUGGGACUCGAAAACAAACGACAUGAUGCAAAGGCUCACUAUUGAUUGACCUUCCUUUGCUCUACUUAUACUUUCUCUGGUCUUUACUGCACAUUUGAGCCUCAGCAACCCGACCUCCUCCUCCUUUUCUUCCUCCUCUUACCUUUCUCUCUUCUACUAUACUCUUUCUACACAACAAAGCCUCUCUCUCUCUCUCUCUCUCUUUCUUUCACUGACAGAAGAAGAGAGUUCNNNNNNNNNNNNNNNNNNNNCUACUACUACUUCUUACUACACAACAACGACCUCUCUCUCUCUCUCUCUCUUUCUUUCACUGACAGAAGAAGAGAGUUCGUGCUGAUUAGUUCCACAACAAAAGUAAGAAGCAGAGACAAGGAAGGGAUGACCAACACCUCUGGUUUCUUUGAAGCUGCUGAGUAACACUACGUCGUUUUCUUCCU